GUACCCUUAGCUCAGUUGGUUAGAGCAGACGGCUCAUAACCGUCCGGUCGUAGGUUCGAGUCCUACAGGGUACAUCA
This 77-nucleotide transfer RNA is filed under the name Enterococcus faecium. Its description in RNAcentral is "tRNA-Met". It matches the Rfam family "tRNA". From Rfam's summary of the family: Transfer RNA (tRNA) molecules are approximately 80 nucleotides in length. Their secondary structure includes four short double-helical elements and three loops (D, anti-codon, and T loops). Lineage: Bacteria; Bacillati; Bacillota; Bacilli; Lactobacillales; Enterococcaceae. The record is from RNAcentral. RNAcentral also lists the same sequence under 8 other names.